UGGGGAAUCUUCCGCAAUGGACGAAAGUCUGACGGAGCAACGCCGCGUGUAUGACGAAGGCCUUCGGGUUGUAAAGUACUGUCUUUGGGGACGAAACGGCAGGUGUGAGAAUAUUGCACUUGCAUGACGGUACCCAAGGAGGAAGCCCCGGCUAACUACGUGCCAGCAGCCGCGGUAAUACGUAGGGGGCGAGCGUUGUCCGGAAUCAUUGGGCGUAAAGGGCGCGUAGGCGGGUCAUUAAGUCUGGUGUGAAAGGCAGGGGCUCAACCCUGGAAGGCACCGGAAACUGGUUAUCUUGAGGACAGGAGAGGAAAGCGGAAUUCCACGUGUAGCGGUGAAUGCGUAGAUAUGUGGAGGAACACCAGUGGCGAAGGCGGCUUUCUGGACUGUAACUGACGC
This 399-nucleotide ribosomal RNA is filed under the name uncultured bacterium. RNAcentral describes it as "partial 16S ribosomal RNA". It matches the Rfam family "Bacterial small subunit ribosomal RNA", at positions 355 to 746 of the family's 1533-position model. The record is from RNAcentral.